Long non-coding RNA from Seriola aureovittata, 1356 nucleotides. RefSeq lists it as uncharacterized. NCBI's taxonomy places the organism in Eukaryota, Metazoa, Chordata, Actinopteri, Carangiformes, Carangidae. The record is from RefSeq and is a predicted model, not a curated record. The transcript is spliced from 3 exons.
AAUGUCUUUGGACAUUGAGCACAGACUUUAACAUCAGCUGGUAUCGAUCAUCUCCAGAUUACCACGGCAACAGAGAAAGACAAAAUGAACAUCAUUCUCCUGACGGCCAUCAUCGUCACCUUAGCCCCUGUUUGCGGGGGGCAAAGCGUGUUUGAUGGCAACAUCACGGACUGGUCCGACUUCUCUGACCAGACCUCCCUCCACUUACGACCCUGUCAGAGAGGGAACAGCAUCGGCAACUAUAAAACAUUCGUCCACAGACACAUCCUUCAAGAGUACUUUGACAGAAAUUCUAAACAUCAGUGGAAAAGGUAUUUACACAGAAAAGGACUCUGUGGCAGAACUCUGGUGCAGACCUUCAUCGAUGCCGGAGUGGGAGCUGUCCAGCAGAUCUGCGGCUGGUCAGGCCGGCGCCUGAAGGGUCACUCAGGUAACUUGUGCAUCAGCACGUCAUGCAUGCGGUUGUAUGAUGUCAGAUCUAGCCACAAUUGCCGUUGUAUUAGGGUACGAAAAUACCAAAAGCAAGUGAUUGUGGCAUGUGAUAAGGUUUAUAAUCAGUGCCUCCCUGUCCAUUUUGAGAGAAACAGAGGCCAAAGACCGAGCAAUAGACCCUGUGCUUGAGUUUCUGGAGGGUCAGUGGACACUCAGUUCCAGUUGUCAGGUUUAUUAUUCCUUGACAUCUAAAUAUUUCUAUCAAGCUUUGCCAAAUGAUUUUUGCUCAUAAAAAUAUAAAGAAAUAUUGGCAUGGGAUUUUUUUUUUUAAGCAACACAUUCUUUCUGCCCCCACGAGCAUGUUGUCAAGAUGAAUAUGUGCUGUGCAUAACAGAAAAAAAUGUUUUAUUAUAUAAAUGAUGUGAUUUAAAUUAGGAUUCAAUCUUCCUAUUAAGAAUGUUUUCUGCUGUGACAGAAGUACAUUUUAUGCUAAAGCUCAUUUACAACUUAAAGAAAAACUGUAAACUACUGGUACAUAAACGUAAAACCCAAAGUUUUGUUUUCAGAUGGAUUAAUAUUCGCUCGACCACUUGAAAUUAAUUUUUCUGUAAUUUGUAUCAGUUAAAUCCUUUUGCAUAGAUUGGUUUUGUCAAACUGUGUUGUAAUCCUUUUUUUUAAUUGCUUCGUAUACAGUCAAAUUCCUUCUGUCAAAAUGAUUCUCAUGUAAGAUUACUAUCAUGUCUUUCUUUUGGCAAAAAAAAAAUGUUUGAAUCUGUGAAAUCUGUGAUUAUUUUAUUCUUUAAGACGCAUAUCAUUAAUGAUAGCUGGUUGCUGAUGCUGUUUUCUGAGUUCAUUUUUGUUCAUGUGAAGAACUGAUAUUUUCUUCUGUGUUCUGCAGAACUCACAAUAAAUACUGCAAAUUGA